UUGGAGGGCAAGUCUGGUGCCAGCAGCCGCGGUAAUUCCAGCUCCAAUAGCGUAUAUUAAAGUUGUUGCAGUUAAAAAGCUCGUAGUUGAAUUUCGGGGUUAGUAAGUUGGUCAUGCCUUUGGUAUGCACUGGCUUUACUGAUUCCUCCUUCUUGACGAACCGUGAUGUCAUUAAUUUGGUGUUGCGGGAAAUCAGGACUGUUACUUUGAAAAAAUUAGAGUGUUUAAAGCGGGCUAACGCUUGAAUACAUUAGCAUGGAAUAAUGAAAUAGGACGUUAAUCCUAUUUUGUUGGUUUCUAGGAUCGACGUAAUGAUUAAUAGGGAUAGUUGGGGGCACUAGUAUUCAAUUGUCAGAGGUGAAAUUCUUGGAUUUAUUGAAGACUAACUACUGCGAAAGCAUUUGCCAAGGAUGUUUUCAUUAAUCAAGAACGAAAGUUAGGGGAUCGAAGACGAUCAGAUACCGUCGUAGUCUUAWCCAUAAACUAUGCCGACUAGGGAUCGGAUGACGUUAAUUCUUUAAUGACUCAUUCGGCGCCUUACGGGAAAC
This 548-nucleotide ribosomal RNA is filed under the name uncultured Glomeromycotina. RNAcentral's name for it is "SSU rRNA". It matches the Rfam family "Eukaryotic small subunit ribosomal RNA", at positions 550 to 1109 of the family's 1831-position model. The record is from RNAcentral. Lineage: Eukaryota; Fungi; Glomeromycota.